Molecule: long non-coding RNA, 567 nt
Filed under: Homo sapiens (human)
Lineage: Eukaryota; Metazoa; Chordata; Mammalia; Primates; Hominidae
Description: HSALNT0306974
Source: RNAcentral
AGUGCAGCUGGGCGAGCUCGCGCGGGCGCCGCCGCCGCCUCUGCUGCUGCCCACCCCGCCGCGCCGCCGGCGCUGCCGGUCUUGCAGGCGGCCGCCGGGGAGGGGCGGCCGAGAGAGCGGAGCACGAGGAGGCGGGGGCGGCAGAGAAGUGAUGCUGGCGCCGGGGAUCGGGGCAGCGGCAGCGGAGCAGCAGCAUCUUCGGGACCCUGGCUGCAGCGUCCCUGUGGCCCGCGCGCCAGCCCAGCGGCCGGAGACCACGCGCCCCGCGGACCCAUUAGAAACGCUUCAAGAGCUGCUCAGUCCAGGAGUGGAGGGAUUUUGUGAAGACACAGAUGCUCCCUAAAAGGAGUGCAGAAAUUUUCAUCAUAGGGAGAAUGAAGACAGUGUGUGACAACCUGAAAAAGACAAGUCUUUGGUUAUCAGAAAAACUACCUUUAAAGCUAAUUUUGAAAACAGAUCAUUUAGAUAAAAUAACAUGGAGAAGAUGAAAAGAAAAAUCAAGUUUACAACAGAUUCAGAGAACCUUGAAGUUGAUUAUGAUUUUAAGAAUAACAGAGGAGCCAAGAU